Oryza barthii is the source of this 169-nucleotide non-coding RNA. NCBI's taxonomy places the organism in Eukaryota, Viridiplantae, Streptophyta, Magnoliopsida, Poales, Poaceae. The record is from Rfam.
UCUAGGUGUAACCAUAAGUUUUUUAUGUUUAAUUUUAAUUUUCUAUCUUAUUUAAAAUAUUUUUAUAAUUAGUACUUUAUACUUAACUUAUAUUUUUAAUUUUUUAAAAAACAAAUCAAAUAAGACGGACGGUUAAAGUUGUGCACGGAAAAUCAUGACUGCACUUAAA